This 4893-nucleotide long non-coding RNA is filed under the name Malus domestica (apple). Its description in RNAcentral is "long non-coding RNA (MDOM_LNC003549)". Lineage: Eukaryota; Viridiplantae; Streptophyta; Magnoliopsida; Rosales; Rosaceae. The record is from RNAcentral.
GAUUGUUGGACGCUGGGAUGGGGGGUCUGGGUUCCUUUUAUUUAUAGUGGGAUCGCCCCGAUUCCGGUUAGGGCUGGGAUUGGCCAAAACACAGUACAAGUACGUGUUAGAAGUUGUUAGGAUUUCCUAGCCGUUAGGGUUAGGUCUCCUAGUUUGUAGGGUUGUUUUCAGUAGUUAAUAAUCCCUAUUCUUUAGGGACAAGUUAUUGAGUUUGAUUCUGAUUUAAUCGUGUACCACGUUGUUAGGAUUCUAAAACGUGGGCUGCAUAUUUUCAGCGUUCAGUUUUCUUUGUAAGGCUAUUUAAUGCCUUUGUUGCUCUUUGAAAUUUUGUACAUGAAGGAGGGGGAAUCAGUGAAUGAGUACUUCGCACAAACUCUCACCAUAGCCAACAAGAUGAGGAUUCAUGGGGAAAAGAUGGAAGAUGUGGUGGUCAUCGAAAAGAUCCAUUGAAGAGUCUAAUGAUCUCGACAUCUUGUCCAUCGAUGAACUGCAAAGCAGCUUGUUGGUACACAAGCAAAGAAUGGGGAGACACAUGGUGGAUGAGCAAGCUCUAAAGGUGACUCAUGAUGUCCAACAAGGCAGGAGAGAUGGACACAACAGUUUCAGAGGGAGAGGACGAGGGAGGGGUAGAAAUGGACCUGACAAGUCUACCAUUGAAUGUUACAAUUGUCAUGAACUUGGGCAUUUUCAGUGGGAAUGCUCUAAGAAUGGAAGGAUUCAAAAGGUUUCUAUGUAGAAACAAGUGAAGAAAUGUUGUUGAUGACUUAUGUGGAUAUCGAGGAGGUUGACCGAGAGGAAUUAUGGUUCUUGGACUCAUAAUGCAACAAUCACAUGUGUGGCAAGAAGGAGAUGUUCACAGACAAGGAUGAAACCUUUAGUAAUUCUAUGAAGUGGGGAACAAUUCAAGCUUGGUUGUGCUGGGGAAGGGAAAUGUUCAUAUGGAAGUCAAUGGAAUCAUGUAGGUCAUCAUUGGGAUAUUGAAGAAAGAUACCGCGAAAGACAUCUAGGACUCCUUGAAGCAGAAGUACUAGGGCACAUCACGAUUUAAACGUGCACAAUUACAAUCUAUUCGCAAAGAGUUUGAAAUUCUACACAUGAAGGAGGGGGAAUAAGUGAAUGAGUACUUCGCACAAACUCUCACCAUAGCCAACAAGAUGAGAAGUCAUGGGGAAAAGAUGGAAGACAUGGUGGUCAUUGAAAAAAUCCAUUGAAGAGUCUAAUGAUCUCGACAUCUUGUCCAUCGAUGAACUACAAGGUAGCUUGUUGGUACACGAGCAAAGAAUGGGGAGACACACGGUGGAUGAGCAAGCUCUAAAGGUGACUCAUGAUGUCAACAAGGCGGGAGAGGUGGACGCAGCAGUUUCAGAGGAAGAGGACGAUGGAGGGGUAUAUAUGGACCUAACAAGUCUACCCUUGAAUGUUACAAUUAUCAUGAACUGGGGCAUUUUCAGUGGGAAUUCCAUAAGAAUGGGAAGGAUUCAAAAGGUUUCUAUGCAAAAACAAGUAAAGAAAUGUUGUUGAUGGCUUAUGUGGAUAUCGAGGAGGUUGACAGAGAGGAAUUAUGGUUCUUGGACUCGGGAUGCAACAAUCACAUGUGUGGCAAGAAGGAGAUGUUCACAAACUUGGAUGAAAAUUUCAGGAAAUCUGUGAAGUUAGGGAACAAUUCAAGCUUGGCUAUGCUAGGGAAGGGAAAUGUUCAUAUGGAAGUCAAUGGAAUCAUGUAGGUCAUCAUUGGGGUAUUCUAUGUGUCGGAUUUAAAGAAUAAUUUAAUGAGCAUUGGACAGUUGCAAGAGAAUGGCCUUGCCAUUUUUAUAAAAAAGUGGCAAGUGCAAGAUUUAUCAUCCAGAGAGAUGAUUGAUUUGGGAGACCUCAAUGGCGGCAAAUCAAAUGUUUAUCUUAUUGGCUCGCACACAAUCAUAAGAACAGAAGUGUUUCAACACUGUUGCAGACGAUCAACCCCAAUUGUGGCAUUGCAAAUAUGGACUUUUGAGUUGGAGCGGUUUAAAAAUCCUUUAACAAAACUAAAGAAUAUGGUGAAGGGCUUACAAAGUUCAAAGCUCACACGAAAGUUUGUGAAAAGUGUUUGGUGGGGAAGCAACAACGAGAUCCAUUUCCAAAGGAUAGUACAUGGAGGGCAUCUUCUUCAACUUGUGCAUACAGACGUAUGUGGGCCCAUUAAUCUGAUCUCUAACAGUAAGAAAAGGUAUCUCAUUACCUUUAUCGAUGAUUAUAGUAGAAAAGCAUGGGUAUAUUUCUUGGUUGACAAGUUAGAAACCUUUAGUACUUUCAAAAGUUUCAAGGCUAGGGUUGAAAAAGAAACUGGUUCAAGCAUAAGGAGUCUGCGUACAGAUCGUGAGGGUGAAUUCACUUCACUCGAGUUCACAGAUUUUUGCAACAUGCAUGGAAUUCAAAGGCAGUUGACUAUUGCUUAUACUCCCCAAUAGAAUGGUGUCGCGAAGAAGAAGAAUCGAACUAUUAUGAACAUGGUUUGAAGCAAGCUUACAAAGAAGAAAAUUUCAAGAACUUUCUGGCUAGAAGCAAUCAACUGGACCAUUCAUGUACUCAACUGAAGUCCAACUCUAGCAGUGAGAAACAUGAAGCCAGAAGAAGCUUCGAGUGGCUCCAAACCAUCAAGUGUCUAGCACACGUGCAUGUUUAUGACAGUAAGAGGAUUAAACUUGAUGACAAGAGUAAGAACUGCAUCCUACUUUGAGUCAAUGAGGAAUCCAAGGCUUAUCAUUUAUUCAAUCCAGCUUCUAAGAAGAUAGUGAUAAGCCGAGAUGUGAUUUUUGAAGAAGAUAAAGCUUGGGACUGGAAUGACAAUCACCGAGAAACAAUCAUGGCUGAUCUUGAGUGGGAAAUGAAUGAAGAAGAAAGCCCAGGAAAUGAUAACAACGUAGAAGAAUCCGAGACUAAUGAAACAACAGUAGAGAGUGAGAAACCUGUUCAUGAUAACAAUACACAAGACACUGCCAUUGAAGAACGAGUUAGAAGACAACCAGUUUGGAUGAGAGACUAUGUAAGUGGAGAAGGUCUCUCUGAGGAGGAAGACAUGGCUCACUUAGCCUUAUUUGCCGAGCUUGAUCCCAUCACUUAUGAGGAAGCGGUGAAUAGUGAAAAAUGGAAGAAGGCUAUAGAUUCAGAAAUUGAGGCUAUAGAAAGAAAUAAUAUGUGGGAGUUGAUAGAGAUGCCAUUAGGAGGAAAAGUGAUUGGGGCGAAAUGGAUUUACAAAAAAAAGCUCAAUGAGAAUGGUAAAGUGGACAAAUAUAAAGCCCACUUGGUUGCAAAAAGGGUACAAUCAGCAAUAUGGAGUAGAUUAUGCCGAAGUGUUUGCACCUCUGGCUCGCUUGGAUACAGUCCAUGUCAUCUUAUCACUUGCAGCUCAGAAUGAUUGGACAGUUUAUCAGUUGGAUGUUAAGUCGGUGUUCCUCCAUGGUGAAUUAAAUGAAGAAGUGUUCGUUGCACAACUUCCUAGCUAUGAACAAAAGGGGCAGGAACACAGGAUAUAUAAGCUUAAAAAGGCUUUAUAUGGUUUUAAACAGGCUCUUCGAGCAUGGUACAGCCGCAUUGAGUCUUAUUUCAUGAAUGAAGGUUUCGAGAAGUGCCCACAUGAACACACAUUGUUUGCCAAAAGAAUGAAUGGAGGUAAAAUGUUAAUUGUUUGCCUUUAUGUUGAUCUUAUAUUUACUGGGAAUGAUGAGUCUAUGUUCGAAGAGUUCAAGCAUUCUAUGAUGACUGAGUUUGAUAUGAUUGACCUUGGGAGAAUGAGCUAUUUUCUUGGCUUAGAAGUGCUUCAAAGGUUGGAAGGUAUCUAUGUUAGUCUACGAAAAUAUGCUCAAGAAGUGUUGGAGAGGUUUAACAUGGACCAAUGUAAUACAGUUCAUAAUCAUAUUGUUCCUGGUUUCAAAAUGAUGAAGGAUGAAGGAUGACUAAAAAUUGAUAGCACUCUGUAAAAACAAAUUAUGGGCAGUCUUAUGUACCUCACUAAAACGCAACCGGAUAUGAUGUAUGUUAUCAGUUUGAUUAGCAGGUUUAUGGAAUGACCUACCGAGUUGCAUCUUAAAGCAACAAAAAUAGUGUUGAGGUACUUGAAGGGCACAGUGAGUUUUGGGUUAUUCUAUAAGAAUAGGGGAGGAAAAGAACUUGUUGGGUACACUGACAGUGAUUAUGUUAGAGAUCAGGAUGAUAGGAAGAGCACUUAUGGAUAUGUUUUUAUGUUGAGUUCAGGGGCAGUUUCAUGGUCCUCGAAGAAACAACCCAUCGUCACUUUAUCUACCACUGAAGCCGAGUUUAUAGUUGCAGCUUCGAGUGCAUGUCAAGAAAUAUGGUUAAGAAGGAUCAUGCAGCAGCUCAAUCAUGAACCACGCAAGUUCACAAUGAUUUAUUGUGAUAAUAGUUCUACCAUUAAGCUCUCAAGGAAUCCAGUGAUGCAUAGGGGUAGCAAACACAUAGAUGUUCGUUUCCAUUUUCUUCGAGAGCUCACCAAAAAUGAAGUUGUGGGAUUAGUUCAAUGUUCUACGCAGAAGCAAGUAGCAAAUAUCAUGACCAAGCCUUUGAAGUUGGACGUGUUUUAGAAAUUGCGAGAGUUAAUGGGUGUUUGUUCACUAGUGGAUAUAAACUAACUGCUGAUAGCAUUUAGUUUAAGGGAUGAUGUUGAAGUUGUUAGGAUUUCCUAACCGUUUGGGUUAGGUCUCCUAGUUUGUAGGGUUGUUUUUAGUAGUUGUUAAUAAUCCCUAUUCUUUAGGGACAAGUUAUUGAGUUUGAUUCUAAUUUAGUCGUGUACCACAUUGUUAGGAUUGUAAAACGUGGGCUGCAUAUUUUCAGCGUUCAGUUUUCUUUGUAAAGCUAUUUAAUGCCAUUGUUACUCUUUGAAUGAAUAACAGAUAUUCUCCC